GCCCUCGUUGUCUAAUGGUUAUGACGUCAGACUUCUACAACGAGGUGGCAUCUGGAGGUUCCGGGUUCGAGUCCCGGCGGGGGUA
Non-coding RNA from Gloeopeniophorella convolvens, 85 nucleotides. The record is from the annotation of a GenBank genome assembly. Lineage: Eukaryota; Fungi; Basidiomycota; Agaricomycetes; Russulales.